GAGGAAGCCAAGGACUGUUCCUGGGAUAAUCCCUCUUAUUCCACCUCCAUCGAUGCUGAGAAUGGUGAUUAGGUUUCCAUAAGUUGGAGGCUGUAGGGGUGAUUUUGGUCCUUCUCCCAUUAGGGAUGGAGUGAUGGAGGUAUGAACUUGAGUGAUAGAGCAGAGAAAAUGAGAGACUUGUUAUUUCAAGAGACUUAGAAUAGAAUUGAAGUUUCUGCAGGAGACUUAGAAAUGUAGAGAGACUUGGAGUUCUCUUUGAUAACUAGACAGGAGUAUUUAUAGACUCCUUAGCAUAUAUCCCUCAUUUUUCUUGCUCAUACUUUUCUAAAUGGACCUGGUUCAAGUUGGACCGCGGAUUCAUCAUUCGGGAUAAGUUGAAAAGUCCACAAGCAACCAGUAUCUUCUUGUUUUAUAGAAGCUAGCCAAAUGGUCAUAGACAUGACUCCUGGCAACUGUAGGUAAGACCAAAGAGAAUAGCUGGUAAGAAGGAUUAGGUGACUCAAUAAAGGUUGAGAUAGGAUGAAUUUUCCUAACUAAUGGAGUUUGUGAACAGGUCAUGGAAACACUAAGUCUUAUGAAAUGAUUCUGGUUUCUAGCUAUGUCUGGUGCAAAGAAUCAUGAUGGAGACAAGCCUAAAUGUGCAUACCAAACAAAAAUUUAUUAUUCAAUGUGCACAAAUUUGUGUUCGUAAAUGGAUGCGCUUGACUGGGGAUGGCGAUGAUUUUGAAAGAACACCAACUAGGGCAACGAAAAGUACUGGCCAACGCGGCACUUGCACCGUGAAUGACAAGGAACGGAUAAUUCAAUGUCAAGCAGCAAGGUUUUACAUAAUUUCCCGUUAGACAUGAUUUUUUUUGACCUAUUAACCUCAUGCUUUUCAUACUUAAUAUCUGUAAAAUUGUACACACCAUCAUUGGCUUCUAUAGUUUGUAGAAAACUACAUGGUUAUUCAAUAUUUUUUAUAAUUACAGUUCUAAGUCCUGUGAAUUUUAGAUGAUGUGCAGUGCAAAGACUUGGUUGACUGUUAGUUACUGAGGUUUUCCCACAUCUCCCAAAUGUUAAAAUGAUGAAAUUAUUGCCUAAGAAGCACCUGUUGCAGAAUCAUAUUUGGAGGUAAGAUAGCAGAUUAUAGCUAACUAAAAAUAGGUUGUAUUAUAUUAAACUACAAAUAGUUUUCAGUACUUUUGUCUUUAUCAAUCUGUGUUAGGCACUUAUUUAGCAAGGUUGGAAGUAUGAGGGGUGGCAGCAUCCUUAAUGGACUUCACUUUAUGUCGACCUAUCGUGGUCAAUUUGUAUUUAAUGAUUAACUUCACAUCCAUGAACGAAAAAAUCAUGUUUGUUUAUCAUGGUUAGGCAAAGAUGCAAUGCAUCCGUGAAGUGAAAAAAAGAAAGGACUGGUCAACUAAGAAAAUCUGUUGGUUGCCCUAUUGAAUUUGUGAACAAUUCACAGGAAGGUUCAAAUUUCGGACACAGCAUGGCCUAUUCACUUUCAUCUUGUGCUUAAUCUAGAACAAAAAUAAUACUACUACAGCCUAAUUAGAACAGCUCUAAAGAGUUGGGAAUUGAUGCUGUAAAUACUUUGUUCCUUAUGGUCUUUGCAUGUUAAUCUUAGCUGCUGGGCUUAGCUGGGCAUUAAUAUUCAGAAAUUCUGAUAAGUCUAUUGCCUGUAUUUCAAAUCCCAAAUUUGAUCCAAGCCAUAUAUAACUUAAUUGAAAACAGUAUAGAUUUUAUCUUUUCAAUCAGUGCCCUUGACCAUUCCACCGUUCCAAAGCCAUCCCUUUGUUUCUAUUUCAUGGAAGCUAGCUAUCUAUGCUGUAAUGCCAUCAAUCCAUUCCUGAUUCUUUGUGAUGCUUAAUUUAUAACCUCCGAAGUCCAUUUGCUUACAUUGAUUACUUACAUAGAAUUGAUAUGAUCAUGGAAAUAAAUAACGGAAGGAUUCUAUGCAAUUUACUUCAAGAUUAAUGAACCUACGUCUACUAAAAAGUUUUGUUUUAUUAUAUGUAGCUUUGAUCUCAACUUAUAUAUCUGCUGCAAUUCAUAUAUGAGAUAGGGUUUUCUUGUCCUCAUAGUCUGCACAACUUUCUACCAAAGAAGUUCACAAUGUGGAGUAUGAUUUAAAGGCUGGGAUGAACUGAGAAAAUGAGCGAAUGUUGAAAAUCUGAAGGUAUUUAUUAGAAUAGCAGGGCAUUUUUGUAUUGGUAAUAAAUCCGUUGUAUUUUCUGUUUUGUUCUGUUUUGUGAUCUGGUGAGUCAGUUACGGGUGUAGUUCUCUAGGCUCUAUAUAUAGGCAUGCUUUUGGGUAUUCUGAAUUGAUCUUCAGAAAACAUGAAUGAAAAGCAGAUUUUCUUUGUAGACCCUCUCCCUUUUUCUUCAAAAACAACUAACAUGGUAUCAGAGCUUUUCCUUCUACUCGCCUCUGUUCGUAUUCAUCUUUCUGUCUGAUGGCUAGAGGUAAUCAAUCCAACGUGCGUGCUGUGGUUAGAUUUUUCGACUUGUCACCAAUGGAGGAUUCAGGUAGCCCAUUUUAUCUCCAUAAUUCCACUGUCACUCUUCCAAAUGAACAUUCUGUUGCUGUCACUAGAGUAGGGUCUGUUGAAUUGUUUGAUUGUUUCAUUAUCGAAAAUGUUUUAUAUGUCCCACAGUUUCAUUUCAAUCUUCUUUCUGUUAGUGCCCUUACUCAAUAUCAUCAUUGCUCAGUGCAUUUUGUAUCUGAAUCUUGUUUUAUCCAGGACCGUAUGCAAGGGAAGAUGAUUGAGAUGGGUAGAUGCCGUGGCAAUCUCUAUGUUUUGAAUCCUACCAACCUUUUUCCUAUACCUUCUAGUGUCACAACUAUUUGUAAUAAUGCCUCAAAGACGGAACACGAGCUUUGGCAUUACCAUCUGGGUCAUCCCUUUUAUAAUAGGCUCAAUUCAUUGAAAGAUGUAUUAAAUCUCAAACUAUUUGUUGGCCACCCUUCUCAUUGUUCAAAUUUUCAUUUAGCUAAACAAAAGCGUUUGACAUUUCCAAUUUCAGACACAAUUUCAUCGUCUCCUGACAACCCGACUCUUGGUAGCUUGGCAUGUAAGGGUAUCAACAAAAUUUAUACCUAAGGUCCUUACACUAAAGUAGCAAAGCUACUAUAGCAUAGUGGCUCUAGGAUCGAACACUGGGAAGGGUUUUUACUUUAACUGGUGAAGUUCGGAGGAUGGAGUGAACUUUUCUUAAUAAAAAUUAGGUUAAGAUGAAAACAUAAAAAGAUGAAGGUGUUGUACUAAACUAACAUGAAAAUAGGUUAAAAGAUGGAAAAAGAAGUUUCUCAAAGCUUUGGAUAACCAUGUUUAACUCACUGUGUAAAAAUGGAGAUUUUGGAACUUUUCACCUCGAGUUGGGGAAGCAACUAAGGUGAUGCUUACUUCCCGAACCGGUAUGUGUUUAACAACUGAGUUUUAGUCCUUCAAAACUUACAAAAAGGGUAGCUGAACCUCAUAAAUGCUCUUUUAAUGAUAUAGGUCAUCUCCUCGACUUGCAAUACAAUGGCUCGUAGGAGAUAACUAAUGAACGUCAGUGGAUCUAACAAUAAGAAUCCACUGAGACCAAAAGGUUAUCAAGUAUUGGCCAUUCAAAGCAAGUCAGAGGGAUUAAAAGCUUUACUUUGAAUGAAAACAUUUAUGAUGCUCAACUACUUACAUUCAUGGCUUGGAAAUCUCCAUCCUGACACAGGAGCUUCACAUGACAUCCAUUACUUCAAGAAACUAAAAGGUUUUAGCCUCUCAUCCUUGGGGAUUUCAUCCUCCAAGGAUGUUUGGCUACUAAGAAAAUAGAAAAUAGUAGAGAGAAAAAGAAAGCAAAAGAUACUCUGUAUUUAGCUAAGUGUAAAAUUUACAUAAGUUGGUCUCCUGGGGAAAGUUCCCCGACCCUUUAAAAAUGAAAAUUACAAAACAAUAUAUAUCAGGUUGUUUACCCCUGUAUUCUUGCUUAACAACUAAGGAAUCAUCUAAUUGGUGGAUUACAAGGAGAGAAUUGGGAUUUAGACAACAAAUAUUUGAAGUAAAAUAUCAAAAAACGUCGGUCGCAAAUAUCUGGAAGCACUCAGGAGAAUUUCGCAGGCGCACAAAAUGGCUGCGAAAUUUCGCAGACGAACAAGAUGGCUGCGAAAUCAUUUCGCAGCCGAAGGCUGAUUUCGCAGCCAAAGGCUGAUUUCGCAGCCCUGCGAAAUUGGCCUUCAGCUUGGAGUGAUCUGCUUCCAUUGGCUCUAACUUCUUCAUUUCAACUUUGAUUUGCGAACCGUUUGAAGCAUUGGAUUGUUGGCUUCCCAAUCUUCGAAACGACAUAAAGUAUGCAUAAAUUGGACUUCAGAAAGUACUCCAAAAGUGGCUGAAAUGACUGUCAUAAAAAAUGCUUCAAGGUAGAUUCUCUCUUUACUUCUCCUCCUUGCAUUCCGGAUUGGUUAUGGCAAAGGACUUUAAGGCUUCAAAGCUCUGAUUCUUCAUGUUUCUGAGCUUUCCAUUGCUUUGCCAUGGAUUCCAAAUAACUCUCCUCCAUCUUGGAUUGCUUUGGUGAUCAAAUUACUAACAAAAACACCAAAACUUACACAAAGUGAUUAGAAGUGAUUGCAAAGGUCCUUAAUAUGUUAAUUGGGUUAAAAGGCAAUAAUUACUACUCAAAAGUGUUUAAAAGAGUUAAUUACAAGCUAUCAAAUAGCACUUUUUGAGUAGUAAUCAUCUCCUUUUGAAUUACUACACCUUGAUAUAUGGGGUUCUUUUCAUCACCCCACACAUGAAGGUUUUCGUUACUUCCUUACCAUUGUUGAUGCUUUUUUCUUGAUUUACUUGGAUAUACUUGCCGCAUGCUAAAUUUGAUGUCCUUGAUGUCUUUCCGACAUUUUAUAAUCUUGUUCAUACUGCAUUUGGUAUUAAAAUAAAAUCAGUGCAUUGUGACAAUGCUCCUAAGCUUUCUUUUUCAAAUUUCUUUCGAGAAAAAAGGAUUUUAUCUUUUCAUUCUUGCGUUGACAUGCCUCAACAAAAUUCAGGAGUUGAGCAUAAGCACCAACAUAUUUUAAAUGUUGCAAGAGCACUAUUGUUGCAAUCCAAUGUCCCAUUAGGAUAUUGGGGUGAUUGUGUAUUAAUUGCCACAUACCUUAUUAAUAAGACUCCAACACCUAUCUUAUCUAACAAAACUCCAUGUGAAGUUCUAUACAAUAAAGUUUCCUUCUAUACUCACUUUUGAGCUUUUGGUUACUUGUAUUAUCGUUCUAGCCUUACUCACCAUAGCACAAAAUUCUCUCCACGAGCCAUUCCUUUAGUGUUUCUUGGUUACCCACCUGGUUAUAAAGGUUACAAGUUGUUGAAUCUCUCCACCAAUGCCAUAUGCAUUAGCCGUGAUGUAGUUUUCCAUGAAUUUCUAUUUCCUUUUCGGUCCAUUGAUUCAAACUUUUCCUCUUGUGAUUUUUUUUUAAUCGAGUUCUUCCUUCUUCCAUUCACAAUUUUUUUUUUCUGUUUCUAAUGUUCCAAAACUUAUCUCACCCCCUACAGUCUUUACCAAACUUGCUGUCCCUUCCACUUCUCGUCCUGUUUGCCUCCCUAAACCACCAUUAUAUCUCCAAGAUUAUCAUUGUUAUUCCACAGUUUAAUCCACAUCUUCUGUAACAUAUCCUCUUUCUAGUGUUCUUGGCUAUGGUAAGCUCUCCUCUUCUCAUCAUGCUCUUGUUCAUGCCAUUUCUUCCCACAUUGAACCAACUUCCUUCUCUCAAGUUGUUGUGAUUCCAGAGUGGUACCAAGCUAUGCAGGCUAAACUUCAAGCUCUUAAACAAAAUGGUACAUGGUCUUUGACAUCUCUUCCUCCUGUCAAACAUCCCGUGGGAUGUAAAUAGGUCUACAAGCUCAAAUUUUGAGCUGAUGGUUCUCUUGAGCGUCACAAAGCUUGUCUUGUUGCAAAGGGAUAUACUCAACAAGAGGGUGUAGAUUAUCUUGACACCUUCUCUCCCAUAGCAAAAUUAGUCAUUGUCAAGUUUUUUUUUUUUGGCUCUUGUUGUGAUUCAUGGCUGGUUUCUCACUCAACUUGAUGUUGACAAUGCAUUCCUUCAUGGUGAUAUGACCUAAGGAGUUUACAUGUCCCUUCCUCCAAGGUAUCACUGUGAGGGGGAGUCCUCACCUUCCAAUGUUGUUUGCAAGCUCUACAAGUCAAUUUAUGGGUUGAAACAAGCUUCUGGAUAGUGGUUUGCAAAAUUUUAUGGUAUUCUGUUAGCUAAAGGUUUCACACAAUCAAUUGUGGAUCAUUCCUUGUUUACCAAAUAUGAUGGUGACUCCCAUAUUGCCUUAUUGGCAUAUGUUGAUGACGUUGUCAUUGUGAUCAACAAUUCCAACCAUAUUGAAGAUCUCAAAAGGUUUCUUGACAACCAAUUUAAGCUCAAAGACCUUGGAUAACUUAAAUAUUUCCUUGGUCUCGAAGUUCCUAGGACAAGUAAGGGGAUUUCAGUUAGCCAAAUACAUCACGCUCUUCAAUUGCUAUCUGAUAUAGGUUUUUUGGGAUGUAAACCUACAAGUACACGAAUGGAAGCUAAUAUCCAACUUUCUCAAGAUGAUGGGGAGAUUCUUGAAGAUGCUGGAUUGUAUAGGUGAUUGAUUAGCAAGCUCCUAUAUCUCACAAUCAUGCAACCUGAUCUAUCUUACUCAGUUAAUCGACUUAGUCAGUAUCUUGCCAACCCAAGAUCUACUCACUUGCAAGCUGUUCAUCGAAUUUUACAAUAUAUUAAAGGUACAAUUGGCCAAGGUAUGUACUUUCCUUUUUCUUCAACAACCCAACUCAAAGCCUUUACUGACUCAGAUUGGGGUGCUGUGCUUGUAAAGAUAUAAGAAGAUCCAUCAAUGGGUUUUGCAUUUUUCUUGGAGAAUCAUUGAUUUCAUGGAAGUUUAGGAAACAAAGUACAGUUCCACGCUCGUUAGCUGAGGCAGAAUAUCAAGCAAUGGAAAAUACCACUUGUGAACUAGUCUGGUUGAUGUCUUUCCUUCCUGAUUUUUGCAUUGAACACAAACAACCAACUAUAUUAUUCUGUGACAAUGAGGCAGCACUUCACAUUGCUGCCAAUCUUGUGUUUCACGAACAGACCAAACACAUCGAAAUUGAUUGCCAUCUUGUUUGUGAGAUGAUACAAACAGGUUGUCUCAAAACAAUGCAUGUAUCUUCUCAACAUCAAAUUGCAGAUCUCCUUACCAAGGCUCUCUUACCAACACAGUUUAAAUUUCUUCUCAACAAGAUGGGAAUUCACAAUAUUCAUUCUCCAUCUUGAGGGGGAGUAUUAGAAUAGCAGGGUAUUUUUGUAUUGGUAAUAAAUCCGUUGUAUUUUCUGUUUUGUAAUCUAGUGAGUCAGUUAUGGGUGUAGUUCUCUAGGCUCUAUAUAUAGGCAUGCUUUUGGGUAUUUUGAACUGAUCUUCAGAAAACAUGAAUGAAUAACAGAUUUUCGUUGUAAACCCUUUCCCUUUUUCUUCAGAAACAACUAACAAUAUUGAAACCCUUAAUUAACUAGCAUUUUUAUUUACUCUGGAUGAAGAUGGGGCUGAAGGAAGAGUGCUUGAAGUUAAUUUCCUUUGUAACCCAUCCAUUUUGCUUCAGCUAAGAUGAAGGAAGAAGAGAAAUCAGCCAAUAUAAGGUAGAUUCAAUUGGAGUUAGGGUUCUCUUACUUUAGCUUAUUGAAUCCUUAGGCCCAGCUAAUUAACCAGGAGCACCACCCACCAACAGUUUAUGUCCAUUGAUAAAUACAAUCCUAGUCAGUUCUACACUGCCACGACCUUAACCCCUGCCUUGAACACCAGACCUUGCUGUCCGGGAACGCUGGCCAGUAAUGGUUAAUAGAGUCCUAGGGAAACCACAGAAAAAUAAGACAUUCAUAGAUUUUUACAUACGUUCAUAGACUCUUGUAUUAACAUUUUUGACUCGUGUAACAUUUGAGGAAAAAAGUGUAAAAAGAAAAUGAAGAAGGAAAUUAAUAGAAGAAAAGAAAAUAUGAAGAAAAAUAAAUAAAAAUUUUAAAAUUAAUUAAUUAUUUUUAUAUAUUUCUUUAAAAUUUUAACUAAUUUUAAAAAUAUUUCAAUUUUUUAGUAUUUUUUUAUUAUAAUUUCAAAUUUAAAAAUUAUAUUAAAUUUUUUUUUUAUAUUUUUUAUUAUAAUGUCGAAUAAAAAAUUUCGGCACCUUAGUUUCUUAGGAGAUUUCUCUCUUCAAAUUCCUCUAUUCCCUUCAAAUUAUGUUCUCUCCAGUUCCCAUGGUUGGAACAGCAGCCAGUACUUGGGUACGCUAUGUCAUUUUGAUGGUGGUGGCGUUUUGGUGAGUUGUUUGUCACAAGCGCUCUGAGGCUGGUGGAUGUAGGUGGGUGGUGUAGUGGGGUUGGUGUGGCACUAUUGUGUUGUAGGUGGGGAUUGAAAUGCUUAAAUUCUGAUUCAAGCUCUCUCUCAUGUCUUUAUUCUUGGACUUUCAGCGCCUAUUUCUUCCGCCACAAUGUGUUUAUAUCAUUUGUUAAUCUGAGACUACUAUUAUGUGAUUCAUGAAAUUUUUGGAAUGAGGUAGUGCACAAUGUGUUUAUAUCUAUGUAGUGUGGAUUUUACCAUUAGCUAGAUACAAGCAACAGGGAAGUGCAAGAUAAUAUGUGUUCGUGUGUGCACCAGAAAAGAAUUUUAACCAGGGUGAAAUUCAAACUGUGGUUGUGGGCUAUAUCUACCGUGCUUCAAUUUUUUGAUAGGGAUAUUUGAUCAACAACUUUUGAAAAAUUUAUGAAUUCAACAAAAUAUCUCUUCAAUAUUAACAUUGCCUUGAAAAUGAUGAAGAAAUACAUCACAUUGACAAUCUUGUCAGGCUGUGCAGGAGAUAUAGUCCUUCUGAAACUUUCACAAUAUUACCCACCAUCAAACCUAAGAUAAUAUUUCACCCAACUUGCCUCUUCUCUUUUUGAUAAAGUAUCACAAUCCGUGAUGGUGUGGGCUCUUGCAUUAAAUUGUGUUUAAGCAUCAUGUCUAAUUUGUUUCAUUUGUUUUGCGAGUGUCAAACAUAUACAACUUUUUUCAUUUUUCAGAUUAAACAAGUUGGUUUCUAGGGAGGAUACUAGGUUUUGUGAUAGUAUGAAGCUAUUUGAUGUUUUCAGUGUGUAAAGAAGAAGUUAGAGGACUCCCUGUACUCUUUUGAUGAAGUAUGUAUGGGCAUUGAAGUCUUGAACGUUAAGCAAAUAAAGAAGUUGUAUAUUGAUAUAAUAAUACGAGGCAUGUACAUAUAUAACCUUAUGGAGAUCUUUCUGGUCCGCUUAAUUUCAAUGAUGUGUAUUUGCUUUGAAUUUGGGUUCUUGGAUAUGGUCUCAGUUGGAUAUGGCCAUCUUUGGAGGAAUACAAUAAUGUAUGAUCUCAAAUUUAACAGUAUCCAUUUUCUUUGGCAAGAAGAUGAUCUCAUAGAGAUAGUGUGGGAACUUUAGGUAAGAGGACUCUCAAAGAAUUGUAGGUAAGAAUAGUUAGGUGAAGUGAUCAAGCUGAACAUGAGAUGGAUUAUCCUAACCAGUCAAAAACACUAUGCGACAAAGGCCAUACUUUGUUCAUAAAUAACUGUGGUUCAAGUGUCUAGCGACAUGAUAAGGGGGACAUACCUGGUUGUUGCGAUCAAGAAUUGGUAAUUGGCAUUCUGAACAUACUUUAUUAUCAUUAAUUUUUUGUGAGAGGUGGUGCCUUAUCUGGUUGCGGAGGAGUCAAUUGGUGCGGCGAUUAGUAGGUAAUGGCAUUUCCACAUGCCAACAGCCAAUAAUACUAAUGACCAUGAAAGCGUCAAUCAGGGUGGCGCUGAUUGCAGGGCAACCUUGUGCAUCAAGAAUGAUUAGUACUAGAGAAUUCAACAAAUUAAGGUAUACCAUUCUGUUAUUCUUCCAUAAAACUUUCAACGCUGAAUGGGAGAAUAGGUUGGUUUUGACAACUUAGACUGUAGAAGUCUAAGCUUCCAUCUCGUUUUAGCCUAACUUUUUCCUUGUCCAAUAGUUUAUAUUUUCUUUCUUAUUUUCAGUAAAUUUUUUAUGCUAAAAACAUUGGCUUGUUCACACAUUAAUUCUAAUUAAACAGCAUGCAUGACAAUAAAAUACCACUAGAUGUUUUUCAGUUGCAUCUCUUUCAGCAUGUUUCAUAAUUUCGAAAUUUAAAAGAAAAAUCCUAUUCCUUUUUCCCCUUAAUCACUGCACCAUGCAUUCAAAGUAGUAAUUCUGUUUUGAGCAAGAUUUGCAUUUCAUAUGCAUAACAACUUCCAUAUGCAGUUACUGCUCCUUGUGUGACAAAUGGGGUUGAGAGUUGGGGUAUGCUUAUCCUUUUACUGUCAUGGUGAACUGAGAAUGGUUAGUUGUCCAUAAGCUCAAGGGCUUUGUUGGGAGGAAGAGGAAGAAGAAGAAGAAGUCCUUUUACUGUCAUAGAAAACUGAGAAUGGUUAGGUCCAUGAGCUCUAGGUCUUUUCUGGGAAGAGGAAGGCUAAAAGGAAGAAAAAGAAGAUACAACUGAUGUACGAAGAAGAAGAAGAUUAUCGUGAUAAUUGCAACUGGGACUAUAUAUAACUUGAAUAUUAAGGCAUACUACUCAAAUUUUCCACACUUGCCCUAACAAAUAAAAUAAGAUAAUCGUGGAAGAUGCUAGCAUAUAUAUCCUAAACUGAUCUAGGUAUCCUAUCCUAAACUACUUUAAAUGUUAAUUAAGGAAUGCAACAUCACUUAAAUAUUGUUGUCUUUCAAACAAGGCACACAACACAUCAAGUUAUCACACUACAUGGCAUUUAUUUAAUAAUAUACUAAUUAAUUGAACUGGAACUGACAAACUUCAAUUUAAGAUUAUUUCUGAUUAAUUUGCUGCACAUCCAUCUGGGACUUGGCAUCAUGAAGGCGUUUCUCUUGUGACAGUACUUCUGCAAACCUGUGACAUUGAGAGCAAUUCGAUCAGUAUUAAUGAAUGAUAGAAGAACAGGUGGCAUAUGUAGAGGGGCUUGUUUAUUAAUCCGGCAUAUUGAUGUUUAUGAUCACAUGCGUUCUCAUCUGAAAUGAAAUUACUAUGUAGUUUUGAUUCAAUAAUUAGUGGACAGAAUUUUAUACAGUAAACAGAUUUACAAUGAGAACUGAAUCUAAGACUAAUUUGAUACCUCAUGAGAGCCUCUUCAUUUGUCUGUUCACUUGAAGGCUCCAAAUUUGAUACCACAAUCAGUUGGCUUUAUAGAAAAGAAAUGAGGAUUUCCCCCACAAAUCUCGUUAGUCACUUUGCCACUGGAAAUUAAAGCCUGAAAGGGAUCAAUAGUAGGUCACAAUUAUUACAACAAUUCAUCACUCAUUUGUGUUUCAGUAAUAGAUAUACAAUACCGGAUUAUUGGAAGCUACUCCAUCAAUAAGAUUGAAAUUUUCUAACUCUCCCUGUGACAUAAUCUUUGAGAGAUAAGUUGGAGCAGCUAGCUGAAGUUCCUAUGCAUAUCACCGAGAGUAAGGCAUCUAUGCUUGGGUGCUGUUUGACCUAGAUCACCAUGAAUAUCAAUAGUAAGUAAGUUUCUUUUCUGAUAAUGAGGACCAUGAAAAAAAAUGGUGAAAUAGUACAUUCCAAAGAUUUUUGUAUGCAUAACUAACUAAACCUUAAUGUUGGAGAAGAUGGUGAUGAACUACCAAUUUUCUUGAAAACUUAAGUUUGAAGGAUUUGAGUUCAAUAUGCAUAUCAUGCUCCUUAACACUCUCAUGUGAUCCUUAACACCUUCCCUCACAUGCGGUCCCAUCCCCGCACGCAAAGAGAUAAACAAAAUUUGGAUUCAUAUUUAGAAAAACAAACAGGAGAUAUGCAAAUUAAGACCUCCAACCAAACUAAGCUUUAAUACCAUCUUGAACUACUAAUUUUUCAAAAAGCUUAAACUCAUAGUAUUUGGGUUCAGUAUGCAUAUCAAAUGAUGGUUAUUCUUUUGUAAUAGGAUGCAUAUUAGGUCUCAUAACCAUUCUUUUACUCAAAGGGUGUCUUAAGUUGACCCUAAGUUAAAUUAUUCUUAAAUUGUUAACUUAAAAACUUAUUAGUUAUUUUUAAAAAAAAUUAUUAAAGUUGUUUGGUAAAGCUAACUUAAAAUCUAUUUUAAAUUAUCAAAUAUUUGUUUUUGUAAUAUUUAGAUUUUCUUAUAAAAUAAAGAAAGUUAUUAAAAAUAUUUUCAUAAAUAUUUUAACUCAUGAGUGAAAAAGGUUAUAAGAUAUACAUGAAGACUAAUAUGUGGUGAAUAGCCAUAUAAUAAAGAAUGGUUGGGAAUCAAUAGUCAUAUCUAGUUUUUGGCCUCUAAUACUUUCUAUGACAUAAUGAUUAAAAUGGUAGACUGUUUUAUUUUUAUAAAGCUUUCGCUAGCAUAACACUACUUCUAACCUAAAAAAUGUAGAAAAUUUUUCAAAAUUAUUUCAAAAUAUGCUUAAACAGUUUUAAGUACUUGGAAUUAUAAAAGAUGAGAGGGAUCAAUUGUAAUGAGUUAUUUAAAUGAUAUAUUAUGAAUUCAAAAAAGAAGAAAAAAAAAAACCUUUAGGAGUCAAGAUACCUAAAACUUAGCUAAAGGGACUGGUAGAGUAUUUUAUGGAAGCAAGAUUCUCAAGCCUCAUACUCUUUUAAAAAAAAUGAAAAUAUCUUCUCUUUUAUUUCUCCUUAUAAUCUUUGGGAAAAAAAAAACGGAAUAUAAAGAGAUAUUAUAAAUAUAUAUAUAUAUUCUCUAUAAUUUCUCUUAAAAACCCCUCCAUAUUCCUCUUUAAUGUUGUGGAAAAGAAACUAAAAUAAAUACGUUAAUGCAUAUGACAAUGUUUCUACUUAAAGUGUAUUUAAUAUAAAUAUUUUUUCUAUUAGUAAUUUUAGGAAAAUCAUUUAUCAUUUAUUAAAUGUUUCUUUAAAAAGUGCUAGCUAUAAGUUAAUUUUUCAUAUUUUUAAAAUAUUUUCUUAAUUUUAUCAAAUUCUAUUUUAAUUUUCAAAAAUAAUUUUUUAAAUUAAAAAUACUUUCCAAAAUCAUGACACCAUCGAAUAAAUAUUUAUCAUAGUUAUCAGUUUAAUCACCACAUAAAAAGUUGAUGUGGUCCAAAAUGAUGUAGGUAGGUAGGUGAGCGGGAUUGAAUAAGCAUUUGGAUUGUAAAUUGUUCACUGUUUUUUAAAGUUGUGUAGUGAUAAUUUUUAAAGAAAAGUCGCUCCAAGAACCCUACUUCCACAUAAUAUUAAAUAAUUUAUACCUGAAGUUGAGGUUCCAGGCAAGCAAGGAUAGUUGCAGGAAUGAUGCCCCUGAUACCACCUCCAUCAAUACUAAGAAUGGUGACUAGGUUACCAUAAGUUGGGGGCUGGAUUUGAGGUAAGAGUGAUUUCUCCAUCUGAAAAAUGAUAAUUAUAGGAUUGUAUGCACUAACUUACAACAAGAAACUAAGAAAUCCUUGGAUAAAAGAAAGAUGUGAAGAAAAAGAAAAGAGCUUGAGGCACCAAGAAAGAUGGCCUUGAGCAAGAAAAGGAUGAGAAAAAAGAAACAAUGCUCGAGUUGUCUUCCCUCUUGUGUUGGAUUGCAUUGUCCAGAAUCUAUUUAUAGGCUAAUCGAGCAGCAAGGCACGUGCUAUAGAAUGCGGUUACUGACGAGUAGGUAAUGUGAUAUGAUGAUGAAGUCUGCUUCUGGCACAGAGCUCCUUUCCCAGGUAUUCUUUUAGUUUAUGUAUGAAGGAUUUAUCUGAAAAUAAAGUCUAAGCUUGCUGCUUCUUCUAGGGUAGCAUACCAUAUAAAGUCUAAGCUUGAUAUUUUAUGAUAGUACAACUAGCAGUCUGCUUUGUCAUGCUGUUGCAUCCUCCUAUUCUUGUAUUUGUGUGUAAGGGACAAAUCAAACUUUGAGGAUUGCAUGACAACACGACACUAUGCUCAUCACAGAUGUUCAAUUGUUCAGUAUAUAUAAACAUGAAACAUAUAUUUUUAUUUAUUUAUUUAUUUUUUAAUAUAUAAAACCAUGAUUUCGUUACAAAUAGAAGUAAACAUUUUAUCAGUGUUUUCAUUCACAUGUACACGCCCUAUAAAUAUUAAUCAUUUUCCAUCUCACCUGAUGAGAAUAAAAAUGCAUAAUAUACCAUUGUGACUCCAUGCAUGAAUGCAUUCCAUAGUGAUACAUGAGCUUAGCAUCUCCAGCUGGAGUUGCUUACAUGAAGCAUCCUUCCAAUUUUCAACUCUUUUUUUACACCUUUCUCCAUCUUUUUCUCUUUUCCAAUUGAGUUCCUCCAUUUUUUACCAUCAUUUGAUUCUUUCUUGGCUUUUCUGAAUUUCAUGUACUUCUUGAAUUUUUUAGCAAACUUAGUAAGCUCACCCUCCGACAUUUUCUCAUCAUCCUCACUUUCGGAACUUAGGGACUCUUCUUUAAUAGCUUUUAAAGCAAUUCCCUUAGCUUUCCUAGGUGAUACAAGAGUAAUCUCAAAGGUUUGGAGGGAACCUACAAGUUCAUAUAUCUUCAAGGAAUCCACAUCCUUAGACUCUUUAAUGGCGGUGACCUUAGCUCUAAAUCUCUCCGGAAGAGAUCUUAAAAUUUUUCGAACCACCUUAAAGUUAGAGAUGGGUUCACCUAGAUUGAAGCUAGAAUUCACAAUGUCCAUCAGUUUUGCAUGAAAUUCUCCAAAAGUUCCAUGAUCAUCCAUUCUAGUGGUCUUAAACCUAGAUGUCAACAUUUGAAGUUUGGACACUUUCACGACAUUAGUUCCUUCAUGAGUCACUUGGAGGAUAUCCCAAGCUUACUUAGCCGAAGUACAUGUAGCAAUCCUACGAAAUUCAUCCGUACUAAUGGCAUUGAAGAUGGAGUACAUGGCUCUAGCAUUAUUCUCACUUGCUUCAUUUUUACUUCUAUCCCAUUCCAAUUUAGGCUUGAUAACAUUAGUUGGUCUACCUUCUUUAUCCAACACCUUAGGUGGAGACCAACCAAAUUCAACGGAGUUCCAAACUUUUUCACUUUGCAUUUUGAGAAAAUAUUGCAUUCUCACUUUCCAAUGAGAAUAAUUUUCGCUAGUUAAAAAUGGUGGUCUCCCAAUGGAAACUCCCUCUUGAUGAGGUUCCAUGAUUGAGAUUCAAUGACUGAAAAUGAUUUUUUUCUUUAAAAACCUGCUUUGAUACCAAUUGAAAAGGUAAAUCUCAAUACAUCUAGAGGGGGGGUGAAUAGGUGUUGUAGAACAAUUUAAAAUUUUUCCCAACAAAGAUUACCUAACCUUAGACUUUCUCAAUAUCAAGAAACUUCUCUUCCAACAACUAUUCAACAAAGCAUAACAUCCACAAGCAAGAAUGUAUGCACCAACACUCUCCCAACAAUUUAUAAAUGCAAUACACAUGCAAAUGCUUCAACAAUCCUAAAAAAUAAAUCAAAAGAACAAAUAUCUCCUCAACUCAUAUCAAUUUACUUCAUGAUAUCAUUAACCAAAAUGAGCAGAAAAAUUAUUAAGGAUAUUCCAUGGAUCAUUACACUUAUAUCACCUCAUAUUUCUUCCAUUCAACAUGUUUGCCCAAGUAAUCAAUGAUAUCAAAAACAUAAAUUAGAUCAAAGUGUAAAGUGAGAGAAAGAGACAAUUAACACCGGAUUUUAACGUGGAAAACCUCCGAAGAGAUAAAAAACCACAGGCCUACCACCAAUUGAAAAACUCCACUAUGAAGAAUAAAAACCGAGUACAAGGUUUUACCUAGCUUAAGCCAACCAAUCAUUCCUGGACCACUUGACUAGUACCUUCACUUUCAGCUUCUCACCUUCAUCUUUCGGAGCACACUUGGAGUCCGCACCAAGCUCAAUCUUGGCAUCUUCUUGAAUCCACACAAGAAGAAAAUGAUUUUUUGCACAAACCCAAAUAGAAUGAGAGAUUGAGAUAUGAAUGAAGGAAUGAAUCAACCCAUUUAUUGCUCAAGAAAAUCCAUUAAAAACUAGUUUGGAAAACGUUAAGAGAAUUGGAUUUUCUUUGCAACCAAAAACCCCCAAAUUAGGAAAAGAGAUGAGAAAAUGAAAAACACAUGGAGUGGCUACAGCUCUCUCCACAUUUUCUGCAGUCUCUACCCAGAAAAUGAGAGAAGAAUGAUUUUUAAAGUGUCAAAAGAAACCUUUAAUCUAAUGGCUAAGAUUUGAUCUUAAAAACAAGUUAGUUGGAUCAAUCUGCCCCUGAACUUGGAUCGAUCCAAAAAUAGGGGAAUAAAAGCCUUGCACUAAAAACCAUUUCUCCCAUCUUUCUAACACAUUUAAAGAUUAAAAACAAGGUUGAUUCACAUUCAAUCAUCACACACUUGGCUACAUACCUCGGCCUCUUAGCAAAGUCUUAGUCUUCAAAGUCAAGUAGUCCGAAGAGGAAUUGGAAAGACGAGUUAGGGGACACUUAAGAAUUUUGUCUAGAAUUGCCAACCUAGCUAAACACUCACAGAAAGGGCUGCUCAACUAUGGAAAUCUGGUCGCCCUAGUGAAUUAGUGAACAAUUCACUGGAAGUUUCAAAUUUCUUACACAGCGUGGCCUAUUCAUUUUCAAGUUUAGCUAAACCUAGAGUAGAAAUAAUACUAAUACAGGAUAAUUCCAACUUCUCUAUAGAAUUGGGAUUAUGGGUACAUAUUGUCACGGACUUAGUCGUUCACUAAGCUCGUGCGACACUUAGGCAAGUCAAGACGCUUGAUCUUGCUAAGUCAGCCUACCCCCAAUGCUUAGCUUGCUAGGCUAAGAUGCUCACGACUCGAAAGCUUGAGAAGCUUAGUAGGAAACUCUUUAAAGAACGGAAGCUCUUAUUAACUCAAAGAAGCCUUUACAAGUGCUUGGAAGCUCACUUGCUUUGGUGCCUUGGCCAAAUGAGGCCCUCACCUAUAUAUAGGCACCAAUAGAACUCUCUGGAACCUUGGAGGGUUCCUUACAACUCAAGACUAUUCUAGAAUGUCCUACAUCAUUCUAGGUACAAGCCUAUGUACAAGUAUAUACAAGAGACUUCUGGAAUUCUCUAGAAAGCCCUAGACUCCUCUCAUGCCUUCCACCAUAGUGUAGAAUUGUGUGGAUUUCUCCAGGCUUCUCUAGAACCUUCCACACUCUUCCCACUCUAGGAGUUUCCAGAAGCUUCCUGGCUCUAUAUAAGCCCACAGGGAGGCUCAUUUGAAUCAGCUUGUGACACUCUCCCCCACUUAAGCUGCAGAAGUCCUCGUCGCACUUUCUACUCGGAAUCGCUCAAUUUGCUCCUAGAACUGCCAUAGGGCAUCUGCUGGCUCCCAACUAGCCUCGCUCUCUGGUAGUCCCUUCCAUUUCACUAAGUAUUCCGUAGCAGGAGGUACAUCUCGUCUCCUGAUGACCCGGUCUGCAAUGAUGUGGUCCAUCUCCUUCUCAUAGGAGGUCACGACCGUUGUAGGUGCCCUCUUAGACAACCCUUGGCUCGGAUCAUCCUUGUCUUCGUGAUAGGGUUUCAAGUAACUUACAUGGAAGAUAAGAUGAAUCUUCAACCUUGGUGGUAGCUCAACUCUAUAGGACACCUUGCUGACCUUCCCAAGUAUGGGGAAUGGUCCUUCAUACCUUCUCACCAGGCCCUUAUGCAUCGGCCUUAGGGAUUUGAAUUGUUGAGGAAGGAGCUUGACAAGCACCAUGUCUCCGACCUUGUACUCCGUGUGUCGUCGCUUCUUGUCAGCCCACUUCUUCAUUUUCUUAGCGUCCUUGUCCAAGUAUGAGCGUGCUAUGUCAGCUUGCUCGUGCCACCCUUUCGCGAACUUGAAGGCCGCUAGACUUUUCCUCGUAUAGCCAAUCGUUAGAGUGUGAGGAGUUAAUGGUUGUUGCCCUAUGGCUAGCUCGAACGGGAUCUUAUUGGUUGCCUCACUCUUUUGCAGGUUGUAUGAGAAUUGGGCUAUGUCUAGCAGCUUAGCCCAAUCCUUCUGGUUGGCACUACCCGACCACACCAAGGUCUUUGAAGUACACACAGAUGCCUUAGACUUCGCUAUUGGGGGAGUCCUUAUGCAAGAAAGGCACCAGAUCGCAUUUGAGAGUCGCAAGCUAAACGACACAGAGAGGCGUUACACGGUGCAGGAAAAGGAGAUGACUGCCAUCGUCCACUGCUUGCGCACUUGGAAGCAUUAUCUUUUGGGGUCUCACUUCAUAGUGAAGAUUGACAAUGUUGCCACUAGCUACUUCCAGACACAAAAGAAGCUAAGUCCUAAAUAAGCUAGGUGGCAAGACUUUCUAGCCGAGUUCGACUAUACGCUGGAGUAUAAGCCAGGAAGUGUUAAUCAUGUGGUUGACGCCCUAAGCUGCAAAGCGGAGCUAGCGUCCAUGAUGAGUCAGCCCCAAGGAGACAUAAUGGAUAUUCUAAGGGAAGGACUGCAACAUGAUCCAGUGGCUAAGAGUCUCAUUGUCCUGGCUCAUGAAGGGAAGACCAAGCGGUUUUGGGUGGAGGACGACCUACUAUACACUAAGGGGAGACGACUUUACGUGCCUAAGUGGGGAAACAUAAGGCGGAAUCUGACAAAUGAGUGCCAUGACACCAAGUGGGCUGGGCACCCUGGGCAACGACGCAUGAGGGCACUACUCGAGUCGGCUUACUACUGGCCUCAGAUACGGGAUGAGGUUGAGGCCUAUGUGAGGACUUGUCUUGUGUGCCAACAAGACAAGGUGGAGCAACGACAACCUAGAGGCUUGUUGGAGCCACUACCUGUAGUAGAGCACCCAUGGGACAGCGUCACCAUGGACUUCAUCAUUGGGCUACCCAAGUUAGAGGACAGCGGCUCUAUCAUAGUGGUGGUGGACAGGUUCUCUAAGUAUGCAACCUUCAUAGCAGCCCCAACUGACUGCACCGCGGAAGAGACGGCGAGGCUAUUCCUAAAACAAGUAGUCAAGUAUUGGGGGUUACCCAAGUUCAUCAUCAGUGAUCACGAUCCGCGUUUCACUAGGAAGUUUUAGACGAAGCUUUUCAAGCUUAUGGGUUCGGAGCUUCACUUCUCCAUAAGCUUUCACCCACAGAUGGAUGGGCAAACAAAGAGGGUGAACGCCUUAUUGGAGCUCUACCUAAGGCACUUCGUGAGUGCCAACCUGAAGGAUUGGGCUAAGCUGCUAGACAUAGCCCAGUUCUCAUACAACCUACAAAGAGUGAGGCGACCAAUAAGAGCCUGUUCGAGCUAGCCACAGGUCAGCAACUGUUAACUCUUCACACUCUAAUGAUUGGCUAUACGGGGAGAAGUCCAGCGACCUUCAAGUUAGCCAAAGAGUGGCACGAGCAAGCUGACAUAGCACACUCAUACUUGGACAAGGCCGCUAAGAAAAUGAAGAAGUGGGCUAACAAGAAGCGACGACACAUGGAGUACAAGGUCGGAGACAUGGUGCUUGUCAAGCUCCUUCAUCAACAAUUCAAAUCCCUAAGGUCGGUGCAUAAGGGCCUGGUGAGGAGGUAUGAAUGACCAUUCCCCAUACUUGGGAAGGUCGGCAAGGUGUCUUAUAGAGUUGAGCUACCACCGAGGUUGAAGAUUCAUCCCGUCUUCCACAUAAGUUACUUGAAACCUUAUCACGAAGACAAGGAUGAUCCAGGCCGAGGGUUGUCUAAGAGGACACCUACAACGGUCGUGACCUCCUAUGACAAGAAGGUGGACCACAUCAUUGCAGACCGGGUCAUCAGGAUACGAGGUGUACUUCCUGCUACGAAAUACUUAGUGAAAUGGAAGGGACUACCAGAGAGCGAGGCUAGCUGGGAGCAAGCAGAUGCCCUAUGGCAGUUCCAGGAGUAAAUUGAGCGGUUCCGAGCAGAAAGCGCGACGAGGACGUCUACGGCUUAGGUGGGGGAGAGUGUCACAAGCUGAUUCAAAUGAGCCUCACCAUGGGCUUAUAUAGAGCUAGGAAGCUUCUAGAGACUCCUAGAGUGGGAAGAGUGUGGAAGGUUCUAGAGAAGCCUGGAGAAAUCCACACAAUUCUACACUAUGGUGGAAGGCAUGAGAGGAGUCUAGGGCUUUCUAGAGAAUUCUAGAAGUCUCUUGUAUAUACUUGUACAUAGGCUUGUACCUAGAAUGAUGUAGGACAUUCUAGAAUAGUCUUGAGUUGUAAGGAACCCUCCAAGUUUCCAGAGAGUUCUAUUGGUGCCUAUAAAUAAGUGAGGGCCUCAUUUGGCCAAGGCACCAAAGCAAGUGAGCUUCCAAGCACUUGUAAAGGCUUCAUUGAGUUAAUAAGAGCUUUCGUUCUUUAAAGAGUUGCCUACUAAGCUUUUCAAGCUUCCGAGUCGUGAGCAUCUUAGCCUAGCAAGCUAAGCAUUGGGGGUAGGCUGACUUAGCAAGAUCAAGCGUCUUGACUUGCCUAAGUGCCGCACGAGCUUAGUGAACGACUAAGUCCAUGACAAUAUGCUGGAAAUACUUUGUUCCUUAUGGUCUUUGUAAAGCUUAUGUUGAUCUUUUUAAUUAGUGGCCUUGACCAUUCCACCAUUCCAAAUUAAGCUAUCACUUCAUUUCAAUACCACAAUCCAUGCAUGAACUAUUUUAUUCUGAGAUAUUUUUUUUCACCAUAUAUAAUGAUGCUAAAUAAAAGGAACUAAAUAAAAAAUCAAAACAUAGGACCCUGCAUCACACCUCUCUAGUUUACUUACAGACUCAAUACUUCACAUAUAUAUGCAAUGCCUUCUCCUGGUUAGAUCUUUCAUUUUCACAAAUUGAACCUAUAAACCCAUAUAUAAUAGGAUGGGUAACUAACCAUGGCAGAACUAUUACUUUUCAUGGAAGCUAGCUAGAUAUGAUCUAAUGUAAUUAACAAUGCAUUCCUGAUUCUUUGUGAUGCUUUAUAACCUAGGAAGUCCAUUUGCUUACCAUUUAUCACAUAUAUAGACUUGAUCUGAUCAAGGCAAUAAAUAAUGGCAAUCCUUUAUAGCCCAACUACUUUUGUUUAAGGGUUUUCUUUUACCAUGCAUACCUUUGAUAUCUCAACUUAUGUGCAUCAAUUAACAUAUAUGAGAUAGGGGUUCAUGUCUUCCUAGUAUGCACAACUUUCUACCAAAAAGUCUUGCGUGUGGAGGUAUGAUUUAAGGUCCUGGAUGAAAUGAGAAAAAUGAGCCUGCUUAGAUGAAGAUGGGGUUGAAGGAAAAGUGCUUGAAGUUUUCUUAGUAAUCCAUCCAUUUUGCUUCACCUAAUUAGAUGAAGGGAGAAGCGCAAAUAUAGAAGGUAGAUUCACUUGGAGUUUCUCUUAUUUUACCUUAUCAGAUCCCUAGACCUAGCCAAUUAAUUAACCAGGACCACCAUCCACCAAUGGUUUAUGUCCAUUUAUAAAUACAGUCAAUUAUAUGCUGCCACGUCCUUCAUUGUAACCCCUGCCUUGUAAACCGGUCCUUGUUGUUUGGAAACGCUGCCCAGCAAUGGUUUAAUAUAGUAUGAGAGAAACCACAGAAAAAUCUAUAGGACAUUCAUAAAUUUUUACCUACCGCAUAUUGACCUGGUCUCUUGCAUUCACUAUUUUGGCUCUUAAAAGUAAGGGUCUCCAAAAAGCCCGCGGCUCGGCCUAAGCCCGGCCUGGCCUGGCGGGCUAAAGCUCGGCCCGAGCCCAUUUUUGGAUGGGCCGGGCCAUGGGCCCCAAAUUAGGCCCAGCCUGUAGGCCCGCCCAUAGGCUCGCCCGUAGGCCCGCCACUUUAAAAAAAAUAUAUAUAUUAAAAAAAAUAUUCAAGAAAUAGAAAAUGUUACAUUAAUAAAAAUAUUCAUUGUUAACUAUUUUAUUCAUUGAAUGUAUACAUUACAUUUGAAAAUGUGGGAAAAGUUUACAUUACUACAAAAUAAAUACAUCCCAACUAGGUUGGCAUCUACUUAUUUGUCAAUCAUUUGUACUUUUCAACCAUAAAAAUAAAAAUAAAAAUAAAAAUAUGACAUACAUUUAGUAAAAUAUUUUAAUCAUUAUCUCUUGGCGGUGAUGGCGAACUAGUGAAAUUGAAAGGUUGUUCUGCUCUUAUUAUAUAACCAAUCAUUUCUUCACGACAAUAAGAUUCAUCAUAAGAAAAUGUUUUUAAAUUUCCACUUUCAUCUUUACCUAAUUGCAUAUAAUUUCUAAUAUCUACAUUAUUUUUAAUUUUACAAUUUUCAUGAUGCCUUUUUAAAUGACUUGUACCUGCAUUUGAGCCACCACUAAGAAGUUUGUUACAAAUUUUACAUUUUGCUUUUAGUUCUUUUUUAUUAUUUUCUAAAUUUAUUUCUAUUCUAUAAAAAAAAUUCCAUAUAUUUGAAGUAAAUUUUUUGCUAUCACAUGCAUUAGAUGAAGAACAAGAACCACUUGUCAUAAUUAUAAUUAUUGAUAAAAUAUUAUGCUAAAAAUAAUAAAUGUAAAAUUAAAAUGUAACAAAUAAAUAAAAGAAAAGGUGAAGUAUGUUACUAAAUUGGAGAACCGAAGCAGAAAUUCCUUCAAAUUUGAACUCUUUGAACCACCAAUGCUUGUUUUUCACCACCAAUAAUAUUGAAUAAUUUGAGACAAAAUGCAAUAAUCGGAAAUAUUGUGGAAUGGGAGAGAGCUUAAGAGUUGAGAAAAUAGAAAAAAAUUGAGGGUAUUUAAUAUUUAUAGAGGUUUAAAUAUUAGGAUUUAUUUAUUUAUUUUUUUUAAAUUUCAAGACCGUUCAACGGUCAUAUAUUUGAAAUUGAAUUAUGAGUGGCAUGUUCAACGGUCAUGUAACCGUUGAACAACCAACUCACUUUUAUUUUUUUUCAAAAAUCAUACAAUAUUUCUAAUAUAUAUAUAUAUAUAUAAUUAAUGCAAAAUAGUUACACAAAAGAGGGCCAGCUCAGUUGGUGGCUAGCUCCCUUAUGGUUCCAUAAGGAAAGGAGUUCGAAUCCCCUUCCCUUCAAAAUUAAAAAUUAUUUUAAUUUUUACCCUAGCUCGCCAAGCUCGCCAAGCCCACCCAGCUUGAGGGCCUACGGGUCGGGCACAGGCCUUAGAUAUAUCAAGGGCCCGGCCAGGCCCGGCCCGGCCUGUUGGAGACCCUUACUUAAAAGUAAGUGGACCAGGCCUAACAUGGGCACUGAAUUCAAUACCUAGGUGCAUAAAGGUCUUCUGUUUAAGAAUAUGCCUCAAAGACUUACAAUGGUCAAUAGCUGACUACUCUGCCCAUAUGAUUCUUCGUCUGUGCCACACACGAAUCUUUUUAAUUAUUUUGUGUCAAACAUACCCGACUUUAUAGUUUCUGACUUCUUCAGGUUUUUGCUUGUUCCAUAUCUAGCAGGUUUUUAACUUUUAUGGAGUCAACAAUUUCAAGCAAGUGACAUCUUAAAUGUUGUUUUCUACAAAAAAACAAAAAAAAAAAACCAGAAAUGUAACUCACUUGUAUCCAAUCGAAGAUUGUAGCAAAAUUGAAUUGCAAACCAAACACACAAAAGAAGUCCAAAAGAAUAUUUCUUUCUUUCACAGUUCAUUAGCAAUAUUACAGUCUACCCGUGAUUAUUCACUCUCUAAACAAUGGUUAUGAAUCUAAAUGCAAAGCCUGAGGGAUACGAUUGGGAGUAGCUGAGUAAAACAAGGUCAUAUCAUCUCUGCUUGUCCCAUUCGACCUGAAAGAAAGCAAGGUAUUGCUUAUCAUGCCUCCACUGGUGCCUCUAGUUCUGCUGCAUUGCUUGCUGCCUCAUCAAUUGUUCUUAUUCAUGCUCCUACAGUCUUAGCAAACCUGGAUACACUCACUCCUGAAAUGGUACAACAAAUUAUCAUUUCUAUUUUUUCUGCUUUUGGGCUCUCAGGUAAUCAUACGAUUUCUUCUAAGCCAUGGUAUUUUGACUCUGGAGCUUCUAACCAUAUGACGAAUACUGUUUUUUCUCUUUCCAAUGUUAGAAAUUAUGAUGGAAAUCUGAAAAUUAACACUGUUGAUGGCAGUUCUCUGCCUAUCAGUGCUGUUGGUGAUCUUUCCUCUUCCUUAAUUGAUGUUUUUGUGUCUCCUGACCUCUCGAAAAAUCUUAUUUUUGUUGGUCAAUUGGUUGAUAAUAAUUGUAAUGUCAAUUUCUCCCGUUCUGGUUGUGUUGUGCAGGAUCAAGUGUCCGGGAAGAUGAUCAUGAAGGGGCCUAAAGUGGGACAACUCUUUCCUCUUCAUGUUUCUCCUUUCACUAUUAUUUCUAGUUUUCAUUUACUUUUCUUUGCAUGUAAUGUUGUUGGUUUUGGACAUAAGAUGUGGCAUAGACGUCUUGGUCACCUAAACUCUGAUGUACUUCGUACUUUGUUUAAUUCUGGAUUAUUGGGAAAUAAAACAUGUUCUUCUCUUGAUAUUUAUUUCGAUUGUACGUCAUGAAAACUUGGUAAAAGUAAAGUUCUACCUUUUCCUCAUUCCGCAUCUCAUGCCUCACAAUGUUUUGAUAUUAUACAUAGUGAUCUUUAGGGGAUUUCACCUAUUGUUUCUCAUGCACAUUAUAAGUACUUUAUUACUUUCAUUGAUAACUUUAGUUGUUUUACUUGGGUUUAAUUCCUCCGGGCUAAGGCUGAAGUUUUUUCAGUCUUUAAGCACUUUUUUGCACUUAUUGAGACUCAAUUCUCUACCAGCAUCAAGGUCUUGUGCUCUUAUUCUGGCGGAGAAUACAUGUCUAAUGAGUUUCAAGACUUUCUUCAAGGCAAAGGGAUCAUCUCUCAGCGUUCUUGUCUUUCGACACCACAACAAAACGGUGUUGCUGAGAGGAAAAAUUGCCACCUUCUUGAUAUGGUAAGAACUCUUUUACUUGACUCAUUGGUUCCUCCUCAUUUUUGGUGUGAAACACUUUCUACUGCAAUUCAUUUGAUCAAUCGCUUACUCUCUCCUAUGUUAAAUCAUGUUUCUCCUUUCUCUAAGUUGUUUGAUCAUUCUCCUUUAUAUUCUGAUCUUCGUACAUUUGGUUGUGUUUGUUUUGUGCAUCUACCUACUCAUGAACGACAUAAGCUUACUACUCAGUCUGUUAAGUGUGUUUUCUUGAUUAUGUUAUCCCUCACAAGGGUUAUGUUUGUUAUGAUCCCUGUGCCUGUUGUAUACGAGUUUCCUGGAAUGUGAUUUUCUUUGAAAUAUCAAUAUUUCUUUCCAUCUCAUGUUGAGCUCCAUCUAUAUCUGUAUCUCUUCUACCUAGUUUUUCCGAAUCCCCAACAAUUGUGGAAAGGUUCAAACCUGGUUUUGUGUAUGAAAGACGUAGUCAACAUGAGUCCGGUUCCACUUCCUCUAUGCCCCAUUCCGAUCUUGACCCGACGCCUGAUCCUACUCCUGCUUCCACCACUCUUCGUCGGUCUACUCGUCUUUCUUGACCCCCUGAUUGGUAUGGAUUCUUCUCUCCUGUCUCUCUUGUUACUACUUUAUCCAAUAUUUCUAUUCUCUUUUGCUACAAACAGGCCAUGGAACAUGAGUGUUGGCAAAAUGCAAUGCAAGCAGAACUUCAAGCACUUGAGGAGAAUCAUACUUAGGAUAUUGUUCCUUGUCCUGCUAUAGUCAAACCUAUUGGGAGUAAAUGGGUUUUCUCUGUAAAACUUUGUUUUGAUGGCUCUUUGGAUUAGUACAAAACUCGUCUCGUAGCUUUGGGUAACAAGUAGGAAUAUAGGGUUAAUUAUGAGGAGACAUUUGCUUUUGUUGCCAAAAUGACCACGGUUCGUACCAUCUUAGCUAUUGUUGCUUCACAAUCAUGGCAACUACAUCAGAUGGAUGUAAAGAAUGUUUUUCUUCAUGGUGAUCUCCAGGAAGAGAUUGACAUGAAGCUUCCCUCUGGUAUGAUUAAUUCUUCUCUCAUGAUGUUUGUAAGCUAAAACGUUCUUUGUAUAGGCUCAAGCAAGCGCCCCAAGCUUGGUUUGAGAAGUUUCGUAGUACAAUUCUUUCCUUUAGUUUUACCCAAAGUUAGUAUGAUUCUUCCAUCUUCUUCCACACAUCUGCGUUGGGUAUAGUCCUUCUCUUGGUUUAUGUGGAUGAUAUUAUCAUUACUGGCACUGACUGUGGUUUGAUUACUAAGCUUCAGCGGAUGUUACAUACAACUUUCCAUAUGAAAGAUCUUGGACAGCUCACAUACUUCUUAGGAUUGGAAGUUCAUCAUUGGGCUAGUGGUAUUUUCGUGAACCAGCAUAAGUAUAUUCAAGAUCUUAUCACUUAAUUUGGCUGGUUUGGCGGACACUUCUUCUGUUGAUACUCCUAUGGAGGUAAAUGUCAAAUACAGGAAAGAUGAAGGGAACCUUCUGGAUGAUCUUACUCUUUAUCGGCGCCUGGUUAGGAGUCUUAUCUACUUGACCACUACUCGACAUGAUAUCUCCUAUGUUCUUCAUCAGGUCAAUCAGUUUAUGACUUCUCCUCGACAUCUCCAUCUUGUUGCAGUUCGGCGUAUCAUCCGCUAUCUUCAAGGUUCACCUACUCGUGGGUUAUUCUUUCCUACCAUAUUCUCUUUUCAACUUGUUGCAUAUAGUGAUGCUGAUUGGGUUGGGUGUCUAGAUACAUGUCGAUCUACUAUGGGUUGGUGUAUUUUUUAGGUGAUGCCUUAAUUUCUUGGAGAUGUAAGAAACAAGAUCGUGUUUCUAAAUCCUCUUCUGAGGCCGAGUAUCGUGCCAUGUCUACUGCUUGUUCUGAAAUUGUAUGGCUACGUAGUCUUCUUGAGGAGCUUGGGUUUCCUUAGACUACUUCUACACCUCUUCAUGCUGAUAACACUAGUGCUAUUCAGAUUGCCACCAAUCCCCUUUUUCAUGAAUGUACCAAGCACAUUGAGGUUGAUUGUCAUUCUAUUCGAGACACCUUGGAAAGUUGGGUGAUAUCUCUUCCUCACAUCUCUUCUGAUCUCCAAGUGGCUUAUAUCUUCACCAAAGCUUUGACUCGACAAUGACAUCAAUUUUUUGUUGGCAAAUUGUUGCUGGUUGACUUACCAACAUCAAUUUGAGGGGGGAUGUUAAUGUUACCAUAUACAAUUUAGGAAUCAUAUUGGUUGUACAUAUAGGAAUGUUAAUGUUACCAUAUACAAUUUAAGAAUUAUAUUGGUUGUACAUAUAGGAAAAGAUUGACUUAUUGGCUUACCAUGUAUUUGUUAAUGUUACCAUAUACAAUUUAGGAAUCAGUUAGACUCCGUGUAUAGGAUAUAUAUCAUUAUAUAGAUAGAUGCAAUGAAAUAUAAAAAAACUGAUCAAAGAUAUCGGUUUUUGUGGAUUUUUUUUUUAGUAUUUUGACAUCUAUAUGAAUCAAUCUUUAAAAGAGAAGCAAGAACAAUCGAGUAUCAAAUAUUACCUUCUCUAUGGAAAUAUUUUAGGGCCAUGCUCAAGAUAAAAGGGCUUGAUGUCUUUAGCUGCAAAUAGAGGACGUCUCUAAUCAUUCGGAGCAGUUAGCAUGGCAGUCACAAGACCACCCGUGCUUGUUCCAGCUAUCACAUCGAAGUAGUUUGUAAUCCUUGCAUCAUCACCAUCCAGCUCCUGAUAUAUUCAAUAUUGUAUUGUUUGUGGUUAGUGUUACCUAAAUCCAUUAUUUUAUCUUAUAUUUAAAGAAAAGUCACUCCAAGAACCCUACUUUGAUAUGUAGUAGAAUAGAUAGAGAUGAAAUAUGUGCAAACGAUCAUCCACAUGAUAUUAAAUAAUUUAUACCUAAAGUUGUGAUUCCAGGAAAGCAAGGAUAGUUGCAGGAAUGAUGCCCCUGAUACCACCUCCAUCAAUACUAAGAAUGGUGAGGUUACCAUAAGUUUGGGGCUGGAUUUGAGUUAAGAGUGAUUUCUCCAUCUGAAAAAUGAUAAUUGUAGGAUUGUAUGCACUAACUUACAAGAAACUAAGAAACCCUUGGAUAAAAGGAAGAUGUGAAGAAAAGGAAAAAAGCUUGAGGCACCAAGAAAGAUGGCCUUGAGUAAGAAAAGGAUGAGAAAAAGGACACAAUGCUCGAGUUGUCUUCUUCUUGUGUUGGAAUAUUGCAUUGUCCAAAAUCUAUUUAUAGGCUAAUCGAGCAGCAAGGCAAGUGCUAUAGAAUGCGGUUACUGACGAGAAUUUGAAAAUCAAGAAAACUCGACGAACAUGAGAUGGUCAUGGAGUGCAUGCAUGGUCUUCUUUGACAUUGUCCAUGGUCCAGAUUACGUUUCUGUGACCACACUUUCCUACAUUUUUUGAAGACAGAAUUUUCUCGCGUGAAGACUUUAUGAUUGACGAGUAGGUAAUGUGAUAUGCUGAUGAAGUCAGCUUCUAGCACAGAGCCCCAUUAAUAGGAUAUUGUUGAAUUGGAGAAUGUUUCCACACACUCAAAAUGGGGCGUUGUUUUAGCAUCAAGAAAUUGUCAUCUUCAUUAGCUUGUUGGAAUUGAGAUGUAUGACUGAUGACUUGUUAGGAUUUAUUUGAAAAUAAAGUCCAAGCUUGCUGCUUCUUCGAGGGUAGCAUACCAUAUAAAGCUCUGUCUCUCUCUUUCUCUCUCUCUCUCUUAUAAGGACAGUGAUGAUCGUCCAAAGAAGAAUUCCCAAGCAGGCAGAGAUGCACAACUGCAAGUAAUUACACACAGAAUGAAGGCGGCUGGCCAGAUUUAACAUGAGAAAAUCAUGAUUAAUACAUGAUUCUUCACCAAUAAUUGAGUUGAAUGAGUCCACUAUUCAAAUCACAUCGUUCAAAAAAAAAAAAGAAAACAGAUAAUUCAAAUCACAUUAUUAAUGAGUGGGCCGGUCUCAUUUAAGAACACGAUUUGACAUGCAAAAUUAAUGGAUCCAUCCAUAUACAACAUCUACCACAACUCAUGAGAAGAAAUUCUGGUUAUUCUAAUAAUUCACCAUUUUUCUUCAUGGAAUUAGUUAUGAAAUAGUCCCAAUUUAGUACUAUUAGAGAGAGUAUCAAGGAAAAUAUUUGGUAGGUGGGCGGUGAAUCAAGUUAAUUAGAUGGUGAAGAAAAACUAAUGAGAGAUGAACUUAAUCAACAAGGUGUACCUCUUUUUUCUGUUGUUACCUCAUAUGCUAUGUAUAAUAUGCUAGUUAAUCCAACUGUGUUAGACAUUGCUGCUACUUAUAAUUGCCGAACAAAAGGUAAUAACUCUUGCUAAAAGUGGCCUUCAUCAUAAGUGUUCUGCAAACGAACUGCGUGCUUCUUGAAUGUGGAGAUAUGGCUGCUCCCACGAAGUUUCCAUACCACAUUUUGAAGUAUAGCUAGUUCUCGUUCUGAUAUUAAUCCACACUAAUGCUGGCAGAUUCCAACACUGGUAUAAUACCAUGUUUUCCAUCUUUUUUUUUUUCCUGUAUAUACACAUAUUAUAAAGUCCAUGUUACAUGUUUAAUAACCAAAGAAAGAUAAAUUAAUGAACAUGCAAAUGAAUGCUCAUGCUUACAAGAUGAUUAUUUUGAUCUUCUAUGAUAGUGAAACGACGUUGAUCUCUUCUAUAUAUAUAAUUAGUACAACUAGCAGUCUGCUUUGUCAUGCUGUUGCAUCCUUCUAUUCUUGUAUUUGUGUACUGGGGACAAAUCGUUCUUUGUAUUUGUGUACAAGGGACAAAUCAAACCAUGAGGAUCACAUGACAACACGACACCAUGCUCAUCACAAAUGUUCAUUUGCUCAUGAAACAUAUGGAGCGGGCAACCAGGACAAAUCGACUAAUCAUUACAUGCACGGCAUUAUGUUCAUGAAACAUAUGCUAAAUAUGGCGUAAUAAAUUUUAAAAAAUAAUUAGAGAAAGAGUGUACGUAAGGGAAAAAAAAAAAAAAAAAAAAACUAAUUAAAAACAUGAUGAAGAUGACAAGAUGGUGAAAGAAAUUUUUCACCAAACAUUUGAUUAUUAACUAUAGAAACAUUUGACUAUGUAACCCUGCUACCUUUUUUUAAUAUUGGGGUAGGUACUGUCGUUUCAUCGAAAAUGAUGUUGUAUUACUUGGCAAACAAAGAUGGUGGUAAGUUUGGAAUAAUGCAAUAUAUGAUUUGCAUGCUUUAUUCCUUGGUAAUAUUAUGAUUUUUUACAAAAAUAUUCUUUAAUCGACUUGGGCAGUGUCGGGUCUAGAAAGGCUGCAUCAGUGCCUAGUGAUUCUCAAUCAGAUGUAUAUCUGGACCAUUAGGGAACCAAGAUAAUAUUUUUGUGUUUGUGUCGCUGUUGUCCUUUAAAACUAUUUAAUAAUUUGUUUUCUCAUGCUUGUAGUUUUUGAAAUAAAGUUAAUUCAGGUAGACCAGUUUUUAAUCAGACCUCAAUGCAACAUAUCUUCCCAUCCUACCCAAGAGAAGCUACUGAAAGCUCCUAUGACUGAAGAGAGACAACAAGGAUUCUAUCCUUCUAGAUCGACCUAGCACUCUCUUUUAGAUUCUAUCCAUCUAUUUGUUCUCAUCUUAUUUCUGGGAAGUUCUGUCUUACCCUAAUUAUCAUAUAUAUAUAUAUAUAUAUAUAUAUAUGUUUCAACCCAUCUCAGUGUCUCUUGUAGAUUUAUAAAGGAUAUAUAAGUAUUAUUUCUAGUCCAUUCUAAUUAAUUGCCAUUCCCAUAAUUUAGGUUGAUACAAAAAUAGAACUUAUUCAAGAAAAUAAUAGAAAUCAUUCAAUCUUGUCCUUAAAAUGUUGUGAGAAAUAGAGGUCGCACUAAAUCACAAUGAGUCUGAAUUGCAUAGACGCAAGCACAAAAUCAAAACCAUAGAAGAAAUUCAGUAAAAUCUAUGGACUUACAAUACCUUAAUACUAAAAAUGCUUAAAUUGGUUAUUAAAAAUAUCCCAUUUGGGAUUUAUUUUUACAAUAAGAAUAGUGAAUUAAAAGGCAGACAAUCAGAAACGGGACUCCAACUUAACUAGAAAUUCAUUACAACAGUAGGAAUCAUUCAUAUCAGACAACGACCAAUCCUUUAGAAGCGGCAGCAUGUCCAUGUGGUGACCUAGUAUCUCUACGUUGCUUCUCUUGGGAGAGUAGUCUUGCAAAACUGAAAAAUUAGAAGGAUUUUUUAUUAUUAUAUGAUUAGUUAAUUAACUAAGAAAGCUCUAGAAUAAAACUCUAAAAAUAGUUAGAUACCUUGUGAGAGCCUCCUCAUUGGUCUCGUGAUUUGAAGGCUCAAAGAUACCUGUAUCCAGGUUAACCCUUGAGACCCUUUUCUUUAACAACUCCUCACCAAUUUUCACAAGAUCAUCCAAAUUUUCCUUUGUGGCUAUGUCGACUGAUGAUGUUAUACCCCUCAAUGUAUCAUCCUGUAUUUACCCUUUGUGUCAGUAUCAGUGGUAGACAAGGAACAGAAGAAGCAAUUGACUUUCAGAUAUUUUUAGGACUGAGGAAAUUAUGAAGAAGAACAAAAUUUAAAUAAGAAAUUUGACUUUGUAAGUGACGGUAAAUUUAUGAAACCACAAGCAGCAAAGCUGUACCUGUAUCCGAAGAUAGCUUUUUUCCGAGUGAAGGGCUUGAAAAAGCUCUGAAAGGUGUAAGUCGAUCAUAUCUCCGCUUGCUUGGGUAAACACUUUCACUAAGGGGGUGGAACCACCACUGGUCAACCACCCCAACACACCCCACUUGGCUGCUUCAUCAGCAUUGUAUUUUUCUUCGGCUUUUGAUGACCCAGUUCCCAAGGAUAUUACUAGAAACCGGCCAUAGUCCAUUGGCUUUAUAGGAAAGAAAUCAGGACUACCCCGGAUGAUCUCCUUGGUCACUUCCCCAAUAGCAACCAAAGUCUGAAACAAGAAUCAAUAAUUAAUUGAAUUGUGAAAAGAAAAAUAAAACUGGGAAGUCUAAGAUGCAACUUCAAAGUUAAUGAGUACCGGAUUAUUUGCAGCUACACCACCAUCAAUGAGGUUGAAUUCUCUAACUCUCCCGGCAGGGUCUUUGGUUUCGAAAUAAUGAGCUGGAAGAUAAGUGGGUGCUGCUGAGGUUCCAAUACAUAUAUCUGACAGUAAGGCAUCUAAGCUUGGUCUGCUCUUCACCUAGAGCAGGGAAAUCAAGCAUAUAGUAUUAAUAUGAAAGUUAUUAUAGCUCCCGUCAUUCAUUACAAUCUCUUAAUUUUCAUAGUUUGGAUUAGAAGGAAAUGAAAUUGUGGAAAGAAGAUGAACCUGAUAAGUCGAAAAUAUUGUUGGCUGAAGGCGCUUGAUGUCAAAUGUUGGGAUAACAACAUUAGUAAGGGUCUGGUGUAAUCGUGUUUCACCUAGUUUUUCUUUAACAAGGUUGUGCAGAUACUUCCCAUCAUAUUUUGGUCCUGAUAAGGCUGUAACUACCUUUGUAACAUGAGGAAUUGGAUCAUGACUGCAUUUAAAAGAAAGAUCAUGUUAAUAACUACAAAAAAUAUUGAAGUCUAGUUAAUUUUAUAUACAUAAAUACUAGCAUCCUGUCAUCUUAAUCAAGAUGUUCAUCAUGAUAUAUUUGUUACCUGUGCUGUGGGAAGAUCUUAGGGCAGUGAUCAAGGUAGAAGUCCUUGAUAUCUUUGGCAGAAAACAAGGGUCGGCCAGUGUUUUCAUUGGGAGUAGUUAGCAUGGCAGUCACGAGGCCACCGGUGCUUGUUCCUGCAAUCACAUCAAAAUAAUCUGAAAUUCUCGCAUCUUCACCAUCCAGCUUCUGCACCAUGGCCAAACAAUCUAGUGUUAGUACGUAUAAAAUAUAUCCAAUAUAGGAUAUAGGUUUCAGAUUAGGAAUAUGCUAAUUUUAAAAGGCAAAUGGAAAAGCCAUAUUUUGUUAUUAUCAUGUAAAACCUUAUAUUUCCUACCUGAAGCUCAGACUCCAGGAAGCCAAGGACUGUUCCUGGGAUAAGCCCUCUUAUUCCACCUCCAUCGAUGCUGAGAAUGGUGAUUAGAUUUCCAUAAGUUGGAGGCUGUAGGGGUGAUUUUGGACCUUCUCCCAUUAGGGAUGGAGUGAUGGAGGUAUGAACUUGAGUGAUAGAGGAGAGAAAUGAGAGACUUGUUAUUUCAAGAGACUUAGAAUAGAAUUGAAGUUUCUG
Molecule: long non-coding RNA, 32682 nt
Filed under: Vitis vinifera (wine grape)
Lineage: Eukaryota; Viridiplantae; Streptophyta; Magnoliopsida; Vitales; Vitaceae
Description: long non-coding RNA (VVIN_LNC006029)
Source: RNAcentral